This 253-nucleotide ribosomal RNA is filed under the name uncultured bacterium. RNAcentral describes it as "partial 16S ribosomal RNA". It matches the Rfam family "Bacterial small subunit ribosomal RNA", at positions 524 to 776 of the family's 1533-position model. The record is from RNAcentral.
UACGAAGGGGGCUAGCGUUGUUCGGAAUUACUGGGCGUAAAGCGUGCGCAGGCGGCUUCUCAAGUCAGGGGUGAAAGCCCAGAGCUCAACUCUGGAAUUGCCUUUGAGACUGAGUGGCUUGAGUACGAGAGAGGUGAGUGGAAUUCCCAGUGUAGAGGUGAAAUUCGUAGAUAUUGGGAAGAACACCGGUGGCGAAGGCGGCUCACUGGCUCGUAACUGACGUUCAUGCACGACAGCGUGGGGAUCAAACAGG